Molecule: unclassified non-coding RNA, 389 nt
Filed under: Hevea brasiliensis (rubber tree)
Lineage: Eukaryota; Viridiplantae; Streptophyta; Magnoliopsida; Malpighiales; Euphorbiaceae
Source: RNAcentral
UCAGGCCACACAACGUGCUCGACUCUUCUUUUGAGUUCAUUGUGCGAUCUCCUUUGCUCUUUGACUCCAGAACUGAAGCUGAUAGCGGAGACUUUUUCGCGAGGGCACAGCAUCGAUGAGAUCCAUACGCUGUGAUCUCGGUCACGGAUGCAGCACCCUGUCGGGCAGCUUGAACGGCGUGAACUCUAUCAUCACCUGCCUGCCCAAGCUAUCGCAGGAACGCGAGCUUGCGAUAGCUCCCGGACCUGGUGGAAUGUCUGUCGAUAGGAGAAGAUGUGAUGGGCCGUUAUCAUUCAAUUUAAUCUGCAAGUACGCAGCUUAGUUGAGCUUCCGCGCGCUCGCGGGCGGCAAAAAGCUGUCAUCGAAAAUGUCGCUGACCGACGGACGCU